GGUCGACGAUUAACGCGAAGAACCUUACCAGGUCUUGACAUCGAGGCAAAGCCGUAGAGAUACGGUGUUCAGCAAUGAAGCCGAAGACAGGUGGUGCAUGGUUGUCGUCAGCUCGUGUCGUGAGAUGUUGGGUUAAGUCCCGCAACGAGCGCAACCCUUAUGGUCAGUUACUAACGGGUAAAGCCGAGGACUCUGACGAGACUGCCGGGGACAACUCGGAGGAAGGUGGGGACGACGUCAAAUCAUCAUGCCCCUUAUGACCUGGGCUACACACGUGCUACAAUGGUGGCAACAAAGAGACGCGAGCCCGCAAGGUGGAGCGAAUCUCAUAAAAGCCAUCUCAGUUCGGAUUGUGGGCUGCAACCCGCCCACAUGAAGUUGGAGUUGCUAGUAAUCGCGGAUCAGCAUGCCGCGGUGAAUACGUUCCCGGGUCUUGUACACACCG
Molecule: ribosomal RNA, 445 nt
Filed under: uncultured Eubacteriales bacterium
Lineage: Bacteria; Bacillati; Bacillota; Clostridia; Eubacteriales
Description: bacterial SSU rRNA
Rfam family: Bacterial small subunit ribosomal RNA
Source: RNAcentral